RNAcentral lists this ribosomal RNA (301 nucleotides) under uncultured bacterium. RNAcentral's name for it is "partial 16S ribosomal RNA". It matches the Rfam family "Bacterial small subunit ribosomal RNA", at positions 509 to 807 of the family's 1533-position model. The record is from RNAcentral.
CAGUCGCCGCGGUAAUACGUAGGGUGCGAGCGUUGUCCGGAAUUACUGGGCGUAAAGAGCUCGUAGGCGGUUUGUCACGUCGUCUGUGAAAUCCUAGGGCUUAACCCUGGACGUGCAGGCGAUACGGGCUGACUUGAGUACUACAGGGGAGACUGGAAUUUCUGGUGUAGCGGUGGAAUGCACAGAUAUCAGGAAGAACACCGAUGGCGAAGGCAGGUCUCUGGGUAGUAACUGACGCUGAGGAGCGAAAGCAUGGGUAGCGAACAGGAUUAGAUACCCGAGUAGUCCCUGUCUCUUAUAC